Molecule: ribosomal RNA, 920 nt
Filed under: uncultured bacterium
Lineage: Bacteria
Description: bacterial SSU rRNA
Rfam family: Bacterial small subunit ribosomal RNA
Source: RNAcentral
ACGCUAGCUACAGGCUUAACACAUGCAAGUCGAGGGGCAGCAUGUUGGUUGCUUGCAACCAAUGAUGGCGACCGGCGCACGGGUGAGUAACGCGUAUCCAACCUACCCAAUACUCAGGCAUAACCCGUUGAAAGACGGACUAAUUCCUGAUGGUAUGUAUUUCUCUCAUGAGUUAUACAUUAAAGAAUUUCGGUAUUGGAUGGGGAUGCGUCUGAUUAGUUUGUUGGUGAGGUAACGGCUCACCAAGACUUCGAUCAGUUGGGGUUCUGAGAGGAAGGUCCCCCACAUUGGAACUGAGACACGGUCCAAACUCCUACGGGAGGCAGCAGUGAGGAAUGUUGGUCAAUGGAUGCAAAUCUGAACCAGCCAAGUAGCGUGCAGGAUGACGGCCCUAUGGGUUGUAAACUGCUUUUAUGUGAGAAUAAAGUUAGGUAUGUAUACUUAUUUGCAUGUAUCACAUGAAUAAGGACCGGCUAAUUCCGUGCCAGCAGCCGCGGUAAUACGGAAGGUCCAGGCGUUAUCCGGAUUUAUUGGGUUUAAAGGGUGCGUAGGCCGUUUGAUAAGCGUGCUGUGAAAUAUAGUGGCUCAACCUCUAUCGUGCAGCGCGAACUGUUGAACUUGAGUGCGUAGUAGGUAGGCGGAAUUCGUGGUGUAGCGGUGAAAUGCUUAGAUAUCACGAAGAACUCCGAUUGCGAAGGCAGCUUACCGUAACGUUACUGACGCUUAAGCACGAAGGUGCGGGUAUCGAACAGGAUUAGAUACCCUGGUAGUCCGCACAGUAAACGAUGGAUGCUCGCUGUUGGCCUUUAUGGUCAGUGGCUUAGCGAAAGCGUUAAGCAUCCCACCUGGGGAGUACGCCGGCAACGGUGAACUCAAAGGAAUUGACGGGGGCCCGCACAAGCGGAGGAACAUGUGGUUUA